GAUGAACGCUAGCUACAGGCUUAACACAUGCAAGUCGAGGGGAAACGACAUUGAAGCUUGCUUCGAUGGGCGUCGACCGGCGCACGGGUGAGUAACGCGUAUCCAACCUGCCUCUGACUAAGGGAUAACCCGGCGAAAGUCGGACUAAUACCUUAUGAGGUUUUCAGCAGACAUCUAACGAAAACGAAAGAUUUAUCGGUCAGCGAUGGGGAUGCGUCUGAUUAGCUUGUUGGCGGGGUAACGGCCCACCAAGGCAACGAUCAGUAGGGGUUCUGAGAGGAAGGUCCCCCACAUUGGAACUGAGACACGGUCCAAACUCCUACGGGAGGCAGCAGUGAGGAAUAUUGGUCAAUGGGCGAGAGCCUGAACCAGCCAAGUAGCGUGCAGGAUGACGGCCCUAUGGGUUGUAAACUGCUUUUAUGUGGGGAUAAAGUGAGCUACGUGUAGUUUAUUGCAGGUAC
Molecule: ribosomal RNA, 461 nt
Filed under: Segatella salivae
Lineage: Bacteria; Pseudomonadati; Bacteroidota; Bacteroidia; Bacteroidales; Prevotellaceae
Description: bacterial SSU rRNA
Rfam family: Bacterial small subunit ribosomal RNA
Source: RNAcentral